RNAcentral lists this transfer RNA (64 nucleotides) under Cavia porcellus (domestic guinea pig). It matches the Rfam family "tRNA", at positions 1 to 62 of the family's 71-position model. Rfam says of the family: Transfer RNA (tRNA) molecules are approximately 80 nucleotides in length. Their secondary structure includes four short double-helical elements and three loops (D, anti-codon, and T loops). Lineage: Eukaryota; Metazoa; Chordata; Mammalia; Rodentia; Caviidae. The record is from Rfam by way of RNAcentral.
GGGGAUUUAGCUCAGUGGCAUAAGCACCUGCCUUGUAAGCAGGCGGUCAUGAGUUCAACCCCUG